CAAAAUCCAUCAAGAAAACCCCAAAUUUCUCCAAAUCCCUCAAAAAAAAACCCUAAAAUGCUCUCAAAGAUCCCUAAAAUCCCACAAAAAACCCCAAAAUCCCACAAAAAAACCCCAAAUUUCUCCAAAUCCCACAAAAAAAAACCCUAAAAUGCUCUCAAAAAUCCCUAAAAUCCCACAAGAAAACCCCAAAAAUCCCACAAGAAAACCCCAAAAAUCCCACAAGAAAACCCCAAAUUUCUCCAAAUCCCUCAAAGAUAACCUAAAAUGCUCUCAAAAAUCCCCCAAGUCCCACAAAAAAACCCAAAAUCCCACAAGAAAACCCCAAAUUUCUCCAAAUCCCUCAAAAAAAAACCUAAAAUGCUCUCAGAAAUCCCUAAAAUCCCACAAAAAAACCCAAAAUCCCACAAGAAAAAGCCAAAUUUUUCCAAAUCCCUCAAAAAAAACCCUAAAAUGCUCUCAAAAACCCAUAAAAUCCCACAAAAAAAACCCAAAAUCCCACAAGAAAACCCCAAAUUUCUCCAAAUCCCUCAAAAAAACCCUAAAAUGCUCUCAAAAAUCCCUAAAAUCCCACAAAAAAAACCAAAAUCCCACAAGAAAACCCCAAAUUUCUCCAAAUCCCUCAAAAAAAACCCUAAAAUGCUCUCAAAAAUCCCUAAAAUCCCACAAAAAAACCAAAAUCCCACAAAAAAACCCAAAUUUCAACAAAUUCCUCAAAAAAAAAACCUAAAAUUCUCUCAAAAAUCCCUAAAAUCCCACAAAAAACCCAAAAUCCCACAAAAAAACCCAAAUUUCUCCAAAUCCCUCAAAAAAAACCCUAAAAUGCUCUCAAAAAUCCCUAAAAUCCCACAAGAAAACCCCAAAAUCCCACAAGAAAACCCCAAAUUUCUCCAAAUCCCUCAAAAAAACCCUAAAAUGCUCUCAAAUAUCCCUAAAAUCCCACAAGAAAACCAAAAUCCCACAAGAAAACCCAAAAAUCUCAAAAGAAAACCCCAAAUUUCUCCAAAUCCCUCAAAGAAAAAAACUAAAAUGCUCUCAGAAAUCCCUAAAAUCCCACAAAAAACCACAAA
Molecule: long non-coding RNA, 1070 nt
Filed under: Phasianus colchicus (ring-necked pheasant)
Lineage: Eukaryota; Metazoa; Chordata; Aves; Galliformes; Phasianidae
Description: lncRNA (ENSPCLG00000016989.1)
Source: RNAcentral